CUGAUUCUGGUGAUUAUCGUUCA
This 23-nucleotide non-coding RNA is filed under the name Arabidopsis thaliana (thale cress). The record is from RNAcentral. Lineage: Eukaryota; Viridiplantae; Streptophyta; Magnoliopsida; Brassicales; Brassicaceae.